This 483-nucleotide ribosomal RNA is filed under the name uncultured bacterium. Its description in RNAcentral is "partial 16S ribosomal RNA". It matches the Rfam family "Bacterial small subunit ribosomal RNA", at positions 28 to 523 of the family's 1533-position model. The record is from RNAcentral.
GACGAACGCUGGCGGCGUGCUUUACACAUGCAAGUCGAACGGUGAAGGUGGAGCUUGCUCCGCCGGAUCAGUGGCGAACGGGUGAGUAACACGUGGGCAACCUGCCCCUAACUUUGGGAUAACUACUCGAAAGAGUAGCUAAUACCGGAUACGAAGUCUGUAGGCAUCUACGGAUUUGGAAAGUUCUUCGGUUAGGGAUGGGCCCGCGGCCUAUCAGCUUGUUGGUGGGGUAGUGGCUCACCAAGGCGACGACGGGUAGCCGGCCUGAGAGGGCGACCGGCCACACUGGGACUGAGACACGGCCCAGACUCCUACGGGGGGCAGCAGUGGGGAAUAUUGCGCAAUGGGCGAAAGCCUGACGCAGCAACGCCGCGUGCGGGAUGAAGGCCUUCGGGUUGUAAACCGCUUUCAGCAGAGAAGAAGCGAAAGUGCCGGUACCUGCAGAAGAAGCACCGGCUAACUACGUGCCAGCAGCCGCCGUAA